CACCUCUAGCAUUACAAGUAUUAGAGGCAUUGCCUGCCCAGUGACUAUAGUUAAACGGCCGCGGUAUCCUGACCGUGCAAAGGUAGCAUAAUCAUUUGUUCCUUAAUUAGGGACUAGUAUGAAUGGCUAGACGAGGGAUCAACUGUCUCUUAUUUUCAAUCAGUGAAAUUGACCUUCCAGUGAAGAGGCUGGAAUACAAUAAUAAGACGAGAAGACCCUAUGGAGCUUAAAUUAACAAGCUUAAUUAUUACCUAAAUAUCCUAAUGGAACAAAACAAAAAAUAUAAGCUUAAAAUUUUGGUUGGGGUGACCUCGGAGAACAAAAAAUCCUCCGAAAGAUAUAUAACAUAGACCUACAAGUCAAAGUAACUCAGUUAUCUUAUUGACCCAAAAAUUGAUCAACGGACCAAGUUACCCUAGGGAUAACAGCGCAAUCCUAUUUAAGAGUCCAUAUCGACAAUAGGGUUUACGACCUCGAUGUUGGAUCAGGACAUCCCAAUGGUGCAGAAGCUAUUAAUGGUUCGUUUGUUCAACG
Molecule: ribosomal RNA, 534 nt
Filed under: Hylomyscus pamfi
Lineage: Eukaryota; Metazoa; Chordata; Mammalia; Rodentia; Muridae
Description: partial 16S ribosomal RNA
Rfam family: Bacterial large subunit ribosomal RNA
Source: RNAcentral